RNAcentral lists this transfer RNA (69 nucleotides) under Malthopsis jordani. RNAcentral describes it as "tRNA-Glu". It matches the Rfam family "tRNA". From Rfam's summary of the family: Transfer RNA (tRNA) molecules are approximately 80 nucleotides in length. Their secondary structure includes four short double-helical elements and three loops (D, anti-codon, and T loops). The record is from RNAcentral. RNAcentral also lists the same sequence under 2 other names. Lineage: Eukaryota; Metazoa; Chordata; Actinopteri; Lophiiformes; Ogcocephalidae.
GCUCUUGUGGUUGAAUAACAACGGUGGUUUUUCAAGCCAUUGGUCCUGGUUAAACCCCUGGCGGGAGCC